GUUGAUGUUUGGAAAUUCAUAUGCAUUUUUUCCCCCGAUCUAGCUUAUUUCUGGAAUUUUUGCUUUUGUUUUGUGUUCUUUCUCUUCAUUUGUGGUCUCUUGCUCUUUCUAGUCCAUACAAUGGGAUAAAUGGAAAGCUCUUGUCAUUCAUGGCGAUGUACUUCGUCUGGGGUUUCGAGUGCGGUGUCAGUGUCUCCAGACAAGCAGCGGCUAAUAUAAUCGAGAUGGGUCAUAAGUAAAAGUUAAAGAUCUAGAGACCUAGAUCUUAUUCUCAAAUCUGCUAUCUCUUCGAUCAGAUCUGCAAAUAUCAGAGACAGAUUGAUAUAUUUGAUUAAGAUUUUGAGGAUGGUGAAGAUGACAAUAGUUGGAAGGGUGAGUGAUGGGUUGCCAAUAGCACAAAGUCCAAGGUAUGUGAAUGAAGAGGAUGAAAAUUUCUCAAGUUACAAGCAACAAGCAGAGUUCAUACGCAAAGAAAUCUCAAGAACAGGGUCUUCAUUGGCUCCUUCUAAGAUGACCAUUCGACUCGAUCUCCACCAACAUUGCUUCAAGUUGUUAGGCUUCUGC
Non-coding RNA from Camellia sinensis, 564 nucleotides. Lineage: Eukaryota; Viridiplantae; Streptophyta; Magnoliopsida; Ericales; Theaceae. The record is from RefSeq and is a predicted model, not a curated record.